RNAcentral lists this ribosomal RNA (305 nucleotides) under uncultured bacterium. RNAcentral's name for it is "bacterial SSU rRNA". It matches the Rfam family "Bacterial small subunit ribosomal RNA", at positions 334 to 636 of the family's 1533-position model. The record is from RNAcentral.
UUGGCCUACGGGGGGCAGCAGUGAGGAAUAUUGGUCAAUGGACGAGAGUCUGAACCAGCCAAGUAGCGUGAAGGAUGACUGCCCUAUGGGUUGUAAACUUCUUUUAUAUGGGAAUAAAGUUUUCCACGUGUGGAAUUUUGUAUGUACUUUAUGAAUAAGGAUCGGCUAACUCCGUGCCAGCAGCCGCGGUAAUACGGAGGAUCCGAGCGUUAUCCGGAUUUAUUGGGUUUAAAGGGAGCGUAGAUGGGUUGUUAAGUCAGUUGCGAAAGUUUGCGGCUCAACCGUAAAAUUGCAAUUGAUACUGG